CCUACGGGAGGCAGCAGUGAGGAAUAUUGGUCAAUGGCCGGAAGGCUGAACCAGCCAUGCCGCGUGAAGGGCAGGGACCUAUGGGCGUUAAACUUCUUUUGUGCGGGAGCAAAAAUGGUCACGUGUGGCCAGACGAGAGUACCGUACGAAUAAGCAUCGGCUAACUCCGUGCCAGCAGCCGCGGUAAUACGGGGGAUGCAAGCGUUAUCCGGAUUUAUUGGGUUUAAAGGGUGCGUAGGCUGUGAGGUAAGUCAGCGGUGAAAUGCCCCCGCUCACCGGGGUGAAGUGCCAUUGAUACUGCCUUGCUGUACUGCGGAUGCCGUGUGCGGAAUGUGUGGUGUAGCGGU
RNAcentral lists this ribosomal RNA (347 nucleotides) under uncultured bacterium. Its description in RNAcentral is "partial 16S ribosomal RNA". It matches the Rfam family "Bacterial small subunit ribosomal RNA", at positions 338 to 682 of the family's 1533-position model. The record is from RNAcentral.